ACCCUUGUGGAGGAGGACGCCGAAGGUGGGGCUAAUGACUGGGGUGAAGUCGUAACAAGGUAGCCGUACCGGAAGGUGCGGCUGGAUCACCUCCUAACAGGGAGACAACAAAAUGUUUAAUAUUAUUAUUUUGUCACCUUAGGUCGAUCGGUAUCUCACGUUUUUAAUUUAUUAAGAAUUUCAUUUCCUAAGUUUUUCUAGGUCACACCCAUUAUUUUUCCUGGGCCAUUAGCUCAGGUGGUUAGAGCGCACCCCUGAUAAGGGUGAGGUCCCUGGUUCAAGUCCAGGAUGGCCCAUAUCUCUAUGUUGGGGGUAUAGCUCAGUUGGUAGAGCGCCUGCUUUGCAAGCAGGAUGUCAGCGGUUCGAGUCCGCUUACCUCCACUGAUUACCACCUCUUCCAUAACCGGUAGAAAGGAAAUGUUUUGAGUUGUGAUCAAAUUCUGAAAGAAUCUAGCUUCCUAAUGAAAUCAUUAAGAUGCUGGACUCAUUGAAUUAAUUUCAUUGUUUUCAGAGAACCUUGACAACUGCAUAGAUUAUUUUUAAAGACAAUAAGCAUCUUUAAUGAUGCAGAUUUAUUAUUUGUGCGAAUGCAUUAAUAACAAUUCUAUUAAGCUGAUGCUUCAAUUUUUGAAGUUAUUGGUCAAGCUACAAAGGGCUCACGGAGGAUACCUAGGCACACAGA
This 682-nucleotide unclassified non-coding RNA is filed under the name uncultured Prochlorococcus sp. RNAcentral describes it as "partial may contain 16S ribosomal RNA, 16S-23S ribosomal RNA intergenic spacer, and 23S ribosomal RNA". The stretch from base 1 to 97 matches the Rfam family "Bacterial small subunit ribosomal RNA", at positions 1437 to 1533 of the family's 1533-position model. The record is from RNAcentral. Lineage: Bacteria; Bacillati; Cyanobacteriota; Cyanophyceae; Synechococcales; Prochlorococcaceae.